ACUGGUUGCCCAAUGACCCUAAGCAGGGUUGGGCUUGGCCAGUACCUGGAUGGGAGAACUCCAGGGAAAACUAGGUUGCAAGCAGGA
RNAcentral lists this ribosomal RNA (87 nucleotides) under Sinocyclocheilus anshuiensis. The record is from RNAcentral. Lineage: Eukaryota; Metazoa; Chordata; Actinopteri; Cypriniformes; Cyprinidae.